GACGAACGCUGGCGGCGUGCUUAACACAUGCAAGUCGAACGGUAAGGCCCUUCGGGGUACACGAGUGGCGAACGGGUGAGUAACACGUGGGUGAUCUGCCCUGCACUUCGGGAUAAGCCUGGGAAACUGGGUCUAAUACCGGAUAGGACCCUGGGAUGCAUGUCCUGGGGUGGAAAGCUUUUGCGGUGUGGGAUGGGCCCGCGGCCUAUCAGCUUGUUGGUGGGGUGAUGGCCUACCAAGGCGACGACGGGUAGCCGGCCUGAGAGGGUGACCGGCCACACUGGGACUGAGAUACGGCCCAGACUCCUACGGGAGGCAGCAGUGGGGAAUAUUGCACAAUGGGCGCAAGCCUGAUGCAGCGACGCCGCGUGAGGGAUGACGGCCUUCGGGUUGUAACCCGCUUUCAGCAGGGAAGAAGCCGCAAGGUGACGGUACCUGCAGAAGAAGCACCGGCUAACUACGUGCCAGCAGCCGCGGUAA
RNAcentral lists this ribosomal RNA (480 nucleotides) under uncultured bacterium. Its description in RNAcentral is "partial 16S ribosomal RNA". It matches the Rfam family "Bacterial small subunit ribosomal RNA", at positions 28 to 523 of the family's 1533-position model. The record is from RNAcentral.